ACCCCAACAGCUAGCCCACCUUCAAAAAACAUCAACCACUAUUAACUACCCCCAAAACAACAACACAAAACACAACAAACCAUUUUUCCACCCCAGUACGGGAGACAGAAAAGGAAACUUGGCGCAAUAGAAAAAGUACCGCAAGGGAAAGCUGAAAGAGAACUGAAAGAACCCAGUAAAGGAAAAAGAAGCAGAGCUUUAAACUCGUACCUUUUGCAUCAUGACUUAGUCAGCACCCCUCAAGCAAAGAGCCCUUUAUGUUUGAUCCCCCGAAACUAAGCGAGCUACUCCAAGACAGCCUAUUGUAGGGCAAACCCGUCUCUGUGGCAAAAGAGUGGGAAGAGCUUUGAGUAGAGGUGACAGACCUACCGAGCCUAGUUAUAGCUGGUUGCCUGAGAAUUGAAUAGAAGUUCGACCUUUUAACUUCUCUACCCCAAUAAGGACCGCCUUCCCCUGGCUAAGAGAAACUUAAAAGAGCAAUUCAAAAGAGGGACAGCUCUCUUGAAAAAAGACACAACUUUAAUAGAAGGUUAAAGAUCAAAAGAUUUAAGGUUAAAUACCCAGGUGGGCCUAAAAGCAGCCAUCCUAAUAAAAAGCGUUAAAGCUCAAGUAUUCUCCUCCUAUAAUUUCGACAACAACAUCUUACACCCCUUCACAUAUCAGGCCCUUCCAUGCAAGCAUGGAAAAGACACUGCUAAUAUGAGUAAUAAGAGAGGUCUCUUAGCCUCUCUCAAAUGCAUCUGUGUACAUCAGAACGAACCCUCACUGAAAAUUAACGUCCCCAUAAACAGAGGGCACUGAGCAAAACUAACUAAAACUAGAAAAUCUCCCAAACAUUAACGUUAAUCCCACACAGGAAUGCCGCAUGAAAGACAAAAGGAAAAAGAAGGAACUCGGCAAACACUGGCCUCGCCUGUUUACCAAAAACAUCGCCUCUUGCCCACACAAUUAUAAGAGGUCCCGCCUGCCCUGUGACUAGAAGUUUAACGGCCGCGGUAUUUUGACCGUGCGAAGGUAGCGUAAUCACUUGUCUUUUAAAUAAAGACCUGUAUGAAUGGCAUAACGAGGGCUAAACUGUCUCCUUUCUCCAGUCAAUGAAAUUGAUCUUCCCGUGCAGAAGCGGGAAUAAAUACAUAAGACGAGAAGACCCUAUGGAGCUUCAGACAAUAGGACAGACCAUGUUAAAACCCCUAAACAACCAGGAUCAAACUAAAUGGCCCCUGCCCUUAUGUCUUUGGUUGGGGCGACCGCGGGGUAACAUUAAACCCCCACGUGGAAUGGGAAACUCCUCCCCAAAGCCAGAGCCACAGCUCUAACAAACAGAAAAUCUGACCAACAAGACCCGACAAUAGUCGAGCAACGGACCCAGUUACCCUAGGGAUAACAGCGCAAUCCCCUUCUAGAGCCCAUAUCGACAAGGGGGUUUACGACCUCGAUGUUGGAUCAGGACUUCCUAAUGGUGCAGCCGCUAUUAAGGGUUCGUUUGUUCAACGAUUAAAGUCCUACGUGAUCUGAGUUCAGACCGGAGAAAUCCAGGUCAGUUUCUAUCUAUGAAACACUCUUUUCUAGUACGAAAGGACCGAAAAGAGGGGGCCUAUGCCUUAAAUAAGCCCCACCCUAAUCUAAUGAUACCCACUAAAAGAGGUAAAAGGGAGUACCCCUUACGCCCGAGAAAAAGGCAA
RNAcentral lists this ribosomal RNA (1682 nucleotides) under Callogobius nigromarginatus. RNAcentral describes it as "16S ribosomal RNA". It matches the Rfam family "Bacterial large subunit ribosomal RNA". The record is from RNAcentral. Lineage: Eukaryota; Metazoa; Chordata; Actinopteri; Gobiiformes; Gobiidae.